RNAcentral lists this ribosomal RNA (1346 nucleotides) under uncultured bacterium. Its description in RNAcentral is "bacterial SSU rRNA". It matches the Rfam family "Bacterial small subunit ribosomal RNA", at positions 28 to 1381 of the family's 1533-position model. The record is from RNAcentral.
GACGAACGCUGGCGGCGUGCUUAACACAUGCAAGUCGAACGGAAAGGCCCUGCUUUUGUGGGGUGCUCGAGUGGCGAACGGGUGAGUAACACGUGAGUAACCUGCCCUUGACUUUGGGAUAACUUCAGGAAACUGGGGCUAAUACCGGAUAGGAGCUCCUGCUGCAUGGUGGGGGUUGGAAAGUUUCGGCGGUUGGGGAUGGACUCGCGGCUUAUCAGCUUGUUGGUGGGGUAGUGGCUUACCAAGGCUUUGACGGGUAGCCGGCCUGAGAGGGUGACCGGCCACAUUGGGACUGAGAUACGGCCCAGACUCCUACGGGAGGCAGCAGUGGGGAAUAUUGCACAAUGGGCGGAAGCCUGAUGCAGCAACGCCGCGUGCGGGAUGACGGCCUUCGGGUUGUAAACCGCUUUCGCCUGUGACGAAGCGUGAGUGACGGUAAUGGGUAAAGAAGCACCGGCUAACUACGUGCCAGCAGCCGCGGUGAUACGUAGGGUGCGAGCGUUGUCCGGAUUUAUUGGGCGUAAAGGGCUCGUAGGUGGUUGAUCGCGUCGGAAGUGUAAUCUUGGGGCUUAACCCUGAGCGUGCUUUCGAUACGGGUUGACUUGAGGAAGGUAGGGGAGAAUGGAAUUCCUGGUGGAGCGGUGGAAUGCGCAGAUAUCAGGAGGAACACCAGUGGCGAAGGCGGUUCUCUGGGCCUUUCCUGACGCUGAGGAGCGAAAGCGUGGGGAGCGAACAGGCUUAGAUACCCUGGUAGUCCACGCUGUAAACGGUGGGUACUAGGUGUGGGGUCCAUUCCACGGGUUCCGUGCCGUAGCUAACGCUUUAAGUACCCCGCCUGGGGAGUACGGCCGCAAGGCUAAAACUCAAAGGAAUUGACGGGGCCCCGCACAAGCGGCGGAGCAUGCGGAUUAAUUCGAUGCAACGCGUAGAACCUUACCUGGGUUUGACAUGGAUCGGGAGCGCUCAGAGAUGGGUGUGCCUCUUUUGGGGUCGGUUCACAGGUGGUGCAUGGCUGUCGUCAGCUCGUGUCGUGAGAUGUUGGGUUAAGUCCCGCAACGAGCGCAACCCUUGUUCACUGUUGCCAGCACGUUAUGGUGGGGACUCAGUGGAGACCGCCGGGGCCAACUCGGAGGAAGGUGGGGAUGACGUCAAGUCAUCAUGCCCCUUAUGUCCAGGGCUUCACGCAUGCUACAAUGGCUGGUACAGAGAGUGGCAAGCCUGUGAGGGUGAGCGAAUCUCGGAAAGCCGGUCUCAGUUCGGAUUGGGGUCUGCAACUCGACCUCAUGAAGUCGGAGUCGCUAGUAAUCGCAGAUCAGCAACGCUGCGGUGAAUACGUUCCCGGGGCU